GAUGAACGCUGGCGGCGUGCCUAAUACAUGCAAGUCGAGCGAAUGGAUUAAGAGCUUGCUCUUAUGAAGUUAGCGGCGGACGGGUGAGUAACACGUGGGUAACCUGCCCAUAAGACUGGGAUAACUCCGGGAAACCGGGGCUAAUACCGGAUAACAUUUUGAACCGCAUGGUUCGAAAUUGAAAGGCGGCUUCGGCUGUCACUUAUGGAUGGACCCGCGUCGCAUUAGCUAGUUGGUGAGGUAACGGCUCACCAAGGCAACGAUGCGUAGCCGACCUGAGAGGGUGAUCGGCCACACUGGGACUGAGACACGGCCCGGACUCCUACGGGAGGCAGCAGUAGGGAAUCUUCCGCAAUGGACGAAAGUCUGACGGAGCAACGCCGCGUGAGUGAUGAAGGCUUUCGGGUCGUAAAGCUCUGUUGUUAGGAAAGAACAAGUGCUAGUUGAAUAAGCUGGCACCUUGACGGUACCUAACCAGAAAGCCACGGCUAACUACGUGCCAGCCGCCGCAGUAA
Molecule: ribosomal RNA, 515 nt
Filed under: uncultured bacterium
Lineage: Bacteria
Description: partial 16S ribosomal RNA
Rfam family: Bacterial small subunit ribosomal RNA
Source: RNAcentral